Molecule: ribosomal RNA, 460 nt
Filed under: uncultured bacterium
Lineage: Bacteria
Description: partial 16S ribosomal RNA
Rfam family: Bacterial small subunit ribosomal RNA
Source: RNAcentral
CCUACGGGUGGCAGCAGUGAGGAAUAUUGGUCCAUGGGCGCGAGCCUGAACCAGUCAAGUCGCGUGAAGGAUGACUGCCCUACGGGUUGUAAACUUCUUUUAUAAGGGAAUAAAGUGAGGCACGUGUGCCUUUUUGUAUGUACUUUAUGAAUAAGGAUCGGCUAACUCCGUGCCAGCAGCCGCGGUAAUACGGAGGAUCCGAGCGUUAUCCGGAUUUAUUGGGUUUAAAGGGAGCGUAGAUGGGUUGUUAAGUCAGUUGUGAAAGUCUGCGGCUCAACCGUAAAAUUGCAAUUGAUACUGGCAGCCUUGAGUACAGUAGAGGUAGGCGGAAUUCGUGGUGUAGCGGUGAAAUGCUUAGAUAUCACGAAGAACUCCGAUUGCGAAGGCAGCUUACUAAACUGCCACUGACAUUGAUGCUCGAAAGUGUGGGUAUCAAACAGGAUUAGAUACCCCAGUAGUC